CGUUCUGACUUCUCACAAUGAUCUCAAAGACCGCCGUCGUGUUGGCCCUUGUGGCUGUCGCUGUAGCUACUCCCUCACAGCCCACGUAUGGCUAUACCCCGGAACCCACAUAUGAGGAACCUGCCAAGUACGACUUCAACUACGCUGUAAAGG
Molecule: non-coding RNA, 153 nt
Organism: Penaeus vannamei (Pacific white shrimp)
Lineage: Eukaryota; Metazoa; Arthropoda; Malacostraca; Decapoda; Penaeidae
Source: RefSeq, a predicted model, not a curated record